Molecule: ribosomal RNA, 828 nt
Filed under: uncultured bacterium
Lineage: Bacteria
Description: bacterial SSU rRNA
Rfam family: Bacterial small subunit ribosomal RNA
Source: RNAcentral
UAUGGNUCAACCAUAGUGUGCUCUGGAAACUNUCUGACUUGAGUGCAGAAGGGGAGAGUGGAAUUCCAUGUGUAGCGGUGAAAUGCGUAGAUAUAUGGAGGAACNCCAGUGGCGAAAGCGGCUCUCUGGUCUGUCACUGACGCUGAGGCUCGAAAGCGUGGGUAGCGAACAGGAUUAGAUACCCUGGUAGCCCACGCCGUAAACGAUGAGUGCUAGGUGUUAGGCCCUUUCCGGGGCUUAGUGCCGGAGCUAACGCAAUAAGCACUCCGCCUGGGGAGUACGACCGCAAGGUUGAAACUCAAAGGAAUUGACGGGGGCCCGCACAAGCGGUGGAGCACGUGGUUUAAUUCGAAGCAACGCGAAGAACCUUACCAGGUCUUGACAUCCCGAUGCUAUUCUUAGAGAUAGGAAGUUACUUCGGUACAUCGGAGACAGGUGGUGCAUGGUUGUCGUCAGCUCGUGUCGUGAGAUGUUGGGUUAAGUCCCGCAACGAGCGCAACCCUUAUUGUUAGUUGCCAUCAUUAAGUUGGGCACUCUAGCGAGACUGCCGGUAAUAAACCGGAGGAAGGUGGGGAUGACGUCAAAUCAUCAUGCCCCUUAUGACCUGGGCUACACACGUGCUACAAUGGUCGGUACAACGAGUUGCGAGCCGGUGACGGCAAGCUAAUCUCUGAAAGCCGAUCUCAGUUCGGAUUGGAGGCUGCAACUCGCCUCCAUGAAGUCGGAAUCGCUAGUAAUCGCGGAUCAGCACGCCGCGGUGAAUACGUUCCCGGGCCUUGUACACACCGCCCGUCACACCACGAGAGUUUGUAACACCCGAANUCGGUG